UACGAGGGGAGCAAGCGUUGUUCGGAUUUACUGGGCGUAAAGGGCGCGUAGGCGGUCGUGACAAGUCACUUGUGAAAUCUCCGGGCUUAACUCGGAACGGUCAAGUGAUACUGUCGGACUAGAGUACAGAAGGGGCAACUGGAAUUCUCGGUGUAGCGGUGAAAUGCGUAGAUAUCGAGAGGAACACCUGCGGCGAAGGCGGGUUGCUGGGCUGACACUGACGCUGAUGCGCGAAAGCCAGGGGAGCGAACGGG
Molecule: ribosomal RNA, 254 nt
Filed under: uncultured bacterium
Lineage: Bacteria
Description: partial 16S ribosomal RNA
Rfam family: Bacterial small subunit ribosomal RNA
Source: RNAcentral